This 4465-nucleotide long non-coding RNA is filed under the name Xyrichtys novacula (pearly razorfish). The record is from RNAcentral. Lineage: Eukaryota; Metazoa; Chordata; Actinopteri; Labriformes; Labridae.
UCAUACCAUUACCUUUUAUUCAAACCGCACUACAGUUUCAAGGCUAUCUGUUGAGCAGUUGGAUGUCUGGAAAAAUCCUGCAAGCUGUGUUGACUUUAUACCACGUUAAAAAAGGAGACUAUUCUUUCUGAUGGCUGAUCAAAUACAAGAUGCUUGGACAGCCUGCAGUGGGGGAGUCAGUGGAAGAAAAACAAGGCAAAAUCUAAAAUACACAUAUUUUAUACAAGGUACAGUAGAAGAGACAACAGUGUACUGUACUGUGAACUGAGGGUACUUGCAUGCAUUCGCCAAGUUGAAUGAACACAAUAUUUUCCAUGUGGGUUCUGGUUUGUUCUUGUAUUUUUAUUUUUAGCUGUUUAAGUUUGUUGCACAGCUGAUCAAGUCUAAACUACUAAACCCUGUUCCUGCAAAGACCUUCUUUCAAACAGCUCCAUUUUUAGCUUCUCUUACAAAUAUCUUCUCCCAAACAGCAUUGAUAUUAGUGAUUUCACAGAUUUUUUCUGCACUUUGUAUCACUCUGUGUGACUUCAGGAGUAACUAAAUUCUUUGCAAAUUUAACUAAUGUAUUACUUCUCUAUGCUUCAUUACUCUUCUCACCUAAUGUGCCCUGCCUCUCGUUUGGUAUUUUUGUCAAUUAACCCCACUCUGAUAUUUUUUUUUCUACUUUCUACUUGAAGUGUUAUCAGUGGUCUUUAAACUGUGAUUAUGAAGUUUUUAGCCAAAAUUGCAUUACCUGUGUCUUUUUCUAAGGGCUUGUCUUCUGCAGAGCUUCAGUAGCUCAUUAGCAAUUCACCUCUGAGUCGUGGGCAGAGACAGCGCUGCUCUUUACACUCCUCUUAACACUAGCUACUACUAGGAUUUAUGACCUAUACUGCAGCCCGUCACCAGAGGGUGCUGUUCUCACAGUGGCUUCACCCAGUGAGAGGGCAGAUGGCGUUCAUUCAAUAUACAGUCUAUGGUCCUGACCUUUUGGUCUUGACUCAGGCUGUGUCUCAUUUCAGAGACCGAAUCGGGAUAAGCGCGCUUAACGGCGCUUAGCUGAGUGCACUGCCGUUUUGUGCCGUUAUGUGCCGUUUUGCGCCGUUAUGUACCCUUCCUGUGUACCUGUGCGCGCUUAGCAUUUCUUAGCAUCUCGUGCCAAAUGGGACACCGUUCGCGCCGUCGUGACGUCAUGCACGCUUCAAAUGCACCGUUCGACGGUGCAGAAGUGCACUUAGCCCGAUGCGGUCUCUGAAAUGAGACACAGGCUCAGUCUCAAUCACUUGAAGUCUUGGUCCUGAUGCCUCCUGGUCUCGGACAUGUCUUGGUCUUGGUUACUGUGGUCUUGACUCACACAUAAACUGUUAUAUGAAAUCCUCUUUAGAGGUUUUUUUUCUUUUUUUUUCCCCAAAAGUUUAGGCUGUAAGGAUGAAAUGGAAAACUUUGGUGCAGCUUGUUAGUUUGACCUGAUCUGUCAAAUAAUACUGUCUUCACACCUGGUUCACUGUCUAGACCUGCCCACAUGGUUGGUUUGAACUAGUUUGAUUCAGCCUUGAGCUCCUCUGAAAAAGGAUCUUAACCGUAGACCCACGCACUCAAGACUACAAAGGAAAGUUUUGUUUCAUCUGUUUUCGGUCUCUCACUCAGCAGACUGCAAAGCACUGUGUGUGACCCUCCUUGCAAAGAUAAAAACUCAUUUAAGACGUUUCCUCUGGUGUUAAAGUUUCUUUGUUUAAGAUCUCACCAAUGUAAAAUUUCUGUAACAAUGAAAAAAGCAGGGUCUGAACCUCAGCACAUGUAGUAUGAGUAGGGGAGUUGAAAUACAUUGUUAUGUUGCACUAAGAUGCAGAUGUGGGCAGUUCUCCAGCAAUGCAGUGACAGAUGACAAUCAAUGACUGCAUUGUGUGGGCAUCAGUGUACAGGGCUUUAUUUUUGUGUCAGUCCACCCCACUAAGCAGACACUCAGACAACAGAGGAGUGGCAGAUUGACAGAGGUAUUUUUAUCUUCUAGUAACACAACUAAUAGAGAAAAUAAUUACCUGCAUGUUGCCCUCUGACAGUUACUCACCAAACACCGGAAGCCAUAUGAACCACUGUGUACCAUGUCUGUAUAAUGAUGAGUGGGACCUGUUGGUGCCUGACAUCAUUGGUGGUGAUAUGUGAACCACACAGAGCUGAACAUUCAACUCUGUGUGACCUCGUCAGAUGAUUGGUAAUAACAGUCUGAGUCUGUCAGUGCUGAAAUAAAACACUUGGAGUGGACACAGUUUGAUUAUUGUCAAACUAUGUUUUUGUUUUGUUUGUUAAAAAGAAGAAGAGCAGCUGUGGAGGGAUGUAUUUGAAAAUGUUCUUGAUUCCUUCUAUACCACCUUUUCUUCGCCCGGGUGGCUUAACCUAGACUCAGAGACGGAUCUCUAUGCUUUGCUCAGAUGUUACACGCUCCAUAUCCAGUCACAGCUGCAUCAAUUCCAAAGAGUAUGGAAAAACCACUCCUUCAGAUCAGAUCAGAUCUGGUUGGGCAAAGAAUAAGAGGGGGGCUACAGUUAAUACUUGUCAGAAAAAUGUUUAAAAUGUGGUAAAAAUAUUAAAUAUAUCAUUAUUUUUUAAAAGUUUAUAAAAAUAUGUAAUUGUACUAGAAAGAAAAAAACUGGCACUUUCACACCAAAUAACUCAGGCGGAUGGCCAAUUCAGAGUUGACUGUAGGGGGUCACAGAGACCUGUGACCGAUGAAGUUCACAUGCCUGAGUUGGCGCUGCCCCACGCUCUGACUGCAGCAGAAAUGGCAAUGCUGCCAAAUCCAACCGUACCAUUUUCAGGGACAGUACAAAUAUACUUAAGACAGCAAGCAUUCAUUUAAAAAAUACUGGAAAGUCUAGUUUAAUAUUAUGUUGUGGAAAUUUCUGCUUAAAUUUAAUGAACCAAUGGUAAAAGGGUUUCACAAAUAAGAGUAUUAGUGAGUACAAUUUUACAAUAAAAUGACUGAAAUUAGCAUUGUUCCUCUGUAAUGAAAACUGAGUUUAGUGGUGAGUAUUUCAAAUGAAUUUUCUUUUCCUACAGCAACUUCGAAGUGUUUUAGAAGACCCCUGCUGCCAUGCUCUCUAGUUUCAGACUCAGUCCUGUAUGUUUUUAGGUACCCAGGGAUGGCAUGUGGGUGGAGCUUGGAGGGGUCGUGUAUUUCACCUGCUUUCUAGCGCAGAGUAUUGUGAAGAACAUUCGUUGGAUUAUCACCCAUAUCAGUCUCUGCAAGGGCUUGAUUGCUUGUAGGUUAAAUUCCUGUUUUUGUUUGGUUGGAUCAGAGAACCUCUGGGUUGCAGGGCCUCAGCCAUGAGGGGCACUAUACAAGAGGAAGUCAGGGGUGGGAGAGGGUCGAUGAGUGAUAUGGGUUUUUGGGAAAAUGAAAUCGAGCUGUCAUGUUGAAAACAGCAAAAUCCUUGGAGGUAUGUAGAGUUAUCUAUAAAGUGAAGGGUCAAAAUGCUGGAGGAUUGAGAGUUGUGAACCCGUUGAAAGUGUCAGACUCUUUGAAGUGUGUUGGGGAUGGAUGAACAUGCUCUUCCCAGUGGGGUGCUUUUAGCGGUCUGUAAAGAUGAGGAUCCACGAGGAAAAAUGCAGGAAGUGCACUUUUCCUGACAGGGUGGAAAUCCCAACUCCCCAGUGCUGACAACUUUUGGUUGAAGUGUACUCCCAGCAUGGGCAUCUAUCGUACCGGUCAAGCAGUUUUGAAGACCUUUAUUGUGGUGCUUCAAAUGCUAAAAGUAUUAACAUGAGACUAUAUCAUGCAGGGGAUCAUGAUGUUGUCUCUGAGGUGGCAACUCCUUAGUGUUGUAGCAUGGAGGGAGUCAUAGGGAGGAUUUCGAUUUUGAAAAUCAUAUUUAGAUUUUGUUGAUGAGGUUUGCUUAACUAUGUUAACACCAUCAAGAUGCUAUAUUCAUCUCCCACCAUGCCCUCUGUCAGUGUGACACCUAAGGAGACUUUAUUGGAGCUUUUUGUAAUUUUCAUUUGUUGGCUUUAGCAGGUUUGCAUGGUGUAAAAUGUAUCUCCUUAUAACUUGUAUUUGUACAAACUUUAAAAAAGGUUAUUCUCAAUGGUUUCUCUAAGAUAUCAAUAAGAGCACUGGGGAUGAGAUCAGAUCUGGUAUAAAACUCACAGUCAAGAGGUGAGUCAAUAAAAUGUUCUGUUGCCUCUGGGAAUUGGGAGGAAAAACAGGUUUACUUAUUACUUUAAAUUUUGUGACCACAAACAUAGCCCUGCAGAAAAAAAGGUUUGAGAGGAUUAUUGAGAAUUUGCUGCCCAUGAAAAGAUAUGUAUCUUCCUCCAUCACAUAAAACAUCCUGCUGUGAACCUCUGAUUACGAGAAAAUACAGUGGUUGGGUCUUUUAGAUCCUCUGUUCAUUUCUGUUUACAUUUAUCUUUGCUCAAGCAAAGAAAUAUUCUUGUUAAGGAAACUAAUUUUUUUGUGAAUGAUUUUCAGAAAGAACUCCACCUGCAG